Molecule: ribosomal RNA, 137 nt
Filed under: uncultured bacterium
Lineage: Bacteria
Description: partial 16S ribosomal RNA
Source: RNAcentral
CACAGAGUUAGCCGGUGCUUCCUUUGGAGGUACCGUCAGAGCUUCGUCCCUCCCGACAGUGGUUUACAACCCGAAGGCCGUCAUCCCACACGCGGCGUCGCUGCGUCAGGCUUUCGCCCAUUGCGCAAGAUUCCCCA